RNAcentral lists this ribosomal RNA (253 nucleotides) under uncultured bacterium. RNAcentral's name for it is "partial 16S ribosomal RNA". It matches the Rfam family "Bacterial small subunit ribosomal RNA", at positions 524 to 776 of the family's 1533-position model. The record is from RNAcentral.
UACGUAGGGUGCAAGCGUUGUCCGGAAUUAUUGGGCGUAAAGAGCUCGUAGGCGGUCUGUUGCGUCGGCUGUGAAAACCCGGGGCUCAACUCCGGGCCUGCAGCCGAUACGGGCAGACUAGAGUUCGGCAGGGGAGACUGGAAUUCCUGGUGUAGCGGUGAAAUGCGCAGAUAUCAGGAGGAACACCCGUGGCUAAGGCGGCUCUCUAGUACGGUACUGACGCUGAGACGCGAAAGCGUGGGGAGCGAACAGG